AGAGUUUGAUCCUGGCUCAGAUUGAACGCUGGCGGCAGGCUUAACACAUGCAAGUCGAGCGGGGGAAGGUAGCUUGCUACCGGACCUAGCGGCGGACGGGUGAGUAAUGCUUAGGAAUCUGCCUAUUAGUGGGGGACAACAUCUCGAAAGGGAUGCUAAUACCGCAUACGUCCUACGGGAGAAAGCAGGGGAUCUUCGGACCUUGCGCUAAUAGAUGAGCCUAAGUCGGAUUAGCUAGUUGGUGGGGUAAAGGCCUACCAAGGCGACGAUCUGUAGCGGGUCUGAGAGGAUGAUCCGCCACACUGGGACUGAGACACGGCCCAGACUCCUACGGGAGGCAGCAGUGGGGAAUAUUGGACAAUGGGGGGAACCCUGAUCCAGCCAUGCCGCGUGUGUGAAGAAGGCCUUAUGGUUGUAAAGCACUUUAAGCGAGGAGGAGGCUACUUUAGUUAAUACCUAGAGAUAGUGGACGUUACUCGC
Molecule: ribosomal RNA, 480 nt
Filed under: Acinetobacter baumannii
Lineage: Bacteria; Pseudomonadati; Pseudomonadota; Gammaproteobacteria; Moraxellales; Moraxellaceae
Description: bacterial SSU rRNA
Rfam family: Bacterial small subunit ribosomal RNA
Source: RNAcentral